Molecule: ribosomal RNA, 406 nt
Filed under: uncultured bacterium
Lineage: Bacteria
Description: partial 16S ribosomal RNA
Rfam family: Bacterial small subunit ribosomal RNA
Source: RNAcentral
AUUGGACGCUGGCGGCAGGCCUAACACAUGCAAGUCGAACGAGUGGCGGACGGGUGAGUAAUGUCUGGGAAACUGCCUGAUGGAGGGGGAUAACUACUGGAAACGGUCGAUAAUACCGCAUACAAUAAGAUGUGCCCAGAUGGGAUUAGCUUGUUGGUGGGGUAAAGGCUCACCAAGGCGAAGAUCCCUAGCUGGUCUGAGAGGAGGACCAUCCACACUGUAACUGAUCCACGGUCCAGACUCCUACGGGAGGCAGCAGUGGUGAAUAUUGCACAAUUGGCGCAACCCUGAUUCAGCCAUGCCGCGUGUAUGAAGAAGGCCUUCGGGUUGUAAAGUACUUUCAGCGGGGAGGCGUUACCCGCAGAAGAAGCACCUGCUAACUCCGUGCCAGCAGCCGCGGUAAUUC